CUGGACUGAAAUGGUCUAUAAAAAGCACAAACUAGCUGUUAAUUUACAAUACAGCAUCAGUGUCACAACUUUAGUUCUGACUUUUCAACCAUUUUACAUCUUCACUUGAACAGAACUCCAUGGUGACCAUGAAACUACUAUUCCUAGUGAUGUGCCUGAUUGGACUUUGUUCUUCCAUUCCUGUAAGAAUUCUUGAAAUACAACAUCAACACUGCAAUUUACGCAUCAAUACACCAAGAGAUUGCUGUUUCCACAGAUUGCAUUGCAUUGGAAUAUGACAAUACAUUAAUUAUUACAAUACGAUUAACUUAAGUUCACACUUUGAGUGUUGAUUACUCUAUACUGUAAUAUCCUGUAUCCUGGGAUUUUGUUUGUGUGUGCAGGUGUCUGAGAAACAUGAUCGAGAGGAGCGCUCAGCUAGUGAUGAGAUGUUCAGGGGUUAUGGGCAUAGUGUUGGGGGAUUCUAUCCCUAUCAGCAGCCUCAGCAGCCUCAGUACCCAUCAUACUUCCCUUACGCCCAGCCCCCCCAAAGUAACUCUGCCCUGUUGGCCCUCCUGCCCUUCCUAUUGGCCAGACUCGCUGCCGCUCCAGCCGCAACUCCUGCUGCAGCUCCCGCCCCAGCCCCAGCAGCAGGUGGAAAAUGAGAUGGGCGUCGACAGAAGAGCCAGAAGGACUCUCAUGUCUCCACCUUGUUUACAUCACAUAUGUUGACAUUAGCUGCUGUUCAGAGCUGAUUAUUCCAUUUUCAAUAAAUGAAAUAAGUUAAGAUCCAU
This is a long non-coding RNA of Oncorhynchus tshawytscha (Chinook salmon), 773 nucleotides long. NCBI's taxonomy places the organism in Eukaryota, Metazoa, Chordata, Actinopteri, Salmoniformes, Salmonidae. The record is from Ensembl.